RNAcentral lists this ribosomal RNA (422 nucleotides) under uncultured bacterium. Its description in RNAcentral is "bacterial SSU rRNA". It matches the Rfam family "Bacterial small subunit ribosomal RNA", at positions 355 to 774 of the family's 1533-position model. The record is from RNAcentral.
UAGGGAAUAUUGGGCAAUGGACGGAAGUCUGACCCAGCCAUGCCGCGUGCAGGAAGAAGGCGCUCAGCGUUGUAAACUGCUUUUAUCGGGGAAGAACGGCAGUCCUGCGGGAUUGUGUGACGGUACUCGAGGAAUAAGCACCGGCUAACUCCGUGCCAGCAGCCGCGGUAAUACGGAGGGUGCGAGCGUUGUCCGGAUUUAUUGGGUUUAAAGGGUGCGUAGGUGGUUGAGUAAGUCUGGUUUGAAAGUCAGUCGCUUAACGAUUGAGGGUGGCUGGAUACUGCUGAACUUGAAUGCCCUGGAGGUAGGUGGAACGGGUUGUGUAGCGGUGAAAUGCAUAGAUAUAUGGAGGAACACCGGUGGCGAAAGCGGCUCUCUGGACUGUCACUGACACUGAGGCUCGAAAGCGUGGGUAGCAACCA